UACGUAGGCAGCGAGCGUUGUUCGGAAUUACUGGGCGUAAAGAGUGUGUAGGCGGUGCUCCCAGUCUGUUGUGAAAUCUCCCGGCUUAACUGGGAGGGUGCAGCGGAAACUAGAGUGCUAGAGGGUGGGAGAGGUAAGCGGAAUUCCUGGUGUAGCGGGUGAAAUGCGUAGAUAUCAGGAGGAACACCUGUGGUGUAGACAGCUUACUGGACCACUUCUGACGCUGAGACACGAAAGCGUGGGUAGCAAACAGG
Molecule: ribosomal RNA, 254 nt
Filed under: uncultured bacterium
Lineage: Bacteria
Description: partial 16S ribosomal RNA
Rfam family: Bacterial small subunit ribosomal RNA
Source: RNAcentral